Molecule: ribosomal RNA, 442 nt
Filed under: uncultured bacterium
Lineage: Bacteria
Description: partial 16S ribosomal RNA
Rfam family: Bacterial small subunit ribosomal RNA
Source: RNAcentral
CCUACGGGUGGCAGCAGUGGGGAAUAUUGGGCAAUGGGCGCAAGCCUGACCCAGCAACGCCGCGUGAAGGAAGAAGGCCCUCGGGUUGUAAACUUCUUUUUUCAGGGACGAAGAAGUGACGGUACCUGAUGAAUAAGCCACGGCUAACUACGUGCCAGCAGCCGCGGUAAUACGGAGGUUGCAAGCGUUAUCCGGAUUUACUGGGUGUAAAGGGCGUGUAGGGGGGGAAGCAAGUCAGAUGUGAAAUUCCAGGGCUCAACCCUGGAACUGCAUUUGAAACUGUUUUGCUUGAGUGAUGGAGAGGCAGGCGGAAUGCCGGGUGUAGCGGUGAAAUGCGUAGAUAUACGGAAGAACACCAGUGGCGAAGGCAGCCUGCUAGACAUUAACUGACGCUGAGGCGCGAAAGCGUGGGGAGCAAACAGGAUUAGAUACCCGGGUAGUC